ACUCUGAGCUUUUCCUCUGGGAACAGAUCCCAGAUUAUUCCAGACUUAAGACAUGGAGAUAUAUCUUGCUAGAGUGUAAGAUGAAAGAGGACCUGCCCUCCAUUCUAUCUACUCCCUCUCUGCAAAGGCCAUUUUGAAGAUCUCAGUUUUACUGAAAGGGGUCUGCCACACAUAACUUCCCUGGUGUACCAGCAACAAGUGUUCAGUGGACCAUGGCAACACAAAGAAUGACGGAGGAGAGAAAAUGCCAUGCAGAAGUGAUAGUCAAGAUGAAGAUGUGGGAGAGGAGCAGCCCCCAGUAUAUAUUCAGUGUGUCCUCUGAAGUAACAACCAUCCCAUCUGGCUGAGAAGUGAUGGACACGGCUCCUUAACCACACUGUACCCUCUGUUCUUGGCACCUCUCUACCAGAAAGAUAUCAACAAAUUGGAUGGAAUUCAGAGAACAGUAAGAAAAAUGAUUAAAGAGAUGGAGGCAGUGACUUAUGAGGAAAGAUGAAAAGGACUAAAUCUAUGUAGCUUGGCAAAGCAACAACUGAGUGACUUCCUAUUAUCCUUCUCAAAGUUAUUGCUGCAGAGGAAAGAAGCAUACAUCUUUUACCCACCAGGAAACCCCCAAAGCAUCUAUUACCAUAAUAGCCAUGGGAAACAGAAGGCACCUCAAAUAAAGGUGGGGAAAAGAAUGAAAGAAAUGGCUUUGGCCUGUGCCUGUUUGACCUCUGAGAGAUACUUUUUGCAAGAAAUUGUUAAGUUUUGGCCCAAAAAGUGGUCGGUCUUUUAUCCUUCCUUGUGGAGGCCAAACUGCAAACCAGGAUGAAGAAACCAUCAGUGGCAGUUUGGGGAGGUGGAGGAGGGACUAUCUAGACUCAGUGAAUCACCAAGGAAACAUGAGGCCUAUUUCUCUGUGAAGCUGAACUUCAAAAAACAAUCUAAGAGAUACAAAGGGAAAAGUGUGACUGCUCUGACAGCAAAAACAAGCAAAUAUCUCCAGAGGGGAUUAAUCCUUCUGCUUCAAAGUAACUAAAACAAAGAAAGCUGAGCCAGCUUCACUGGAAACAACACCUGUCCAUCAGACAAGGAUGAGCUAAUCAAAAGAAAACACUGCCUAUGUGCACGACUCAGCAGCCUGGACAGCUAAUACCAAGGAACACGUUUUCACUAUAAAGAUUCAGCUUUCAAAAUCCAGUUCCCUCUUGUAGAGCCACAGGGUUAAAAGGGACCUUAGAGAUCAUCUACAUACAGGCCAAACCCUCAAUGAAUGCCAGUGUUCGCCUUAU
This is a long non-coding RNA of Homo sapiens (human), 1274 nucleotides long. Ensembl annotates it as tumor suppressor candidate 7. Its record names the gene TUSC7. The record is from Ensembl. NCBI's taxonomy places the organism in Eukaryota, Metazoa, Chordata, Mammalia, Primates, Hominidae.